UGGUUCUGGCAUCGAUGAAGAACGCAGCGAAAUGCGAAAAGUAAUGUGAAUUGCAGAAUUCAGUGAAUCAUCGAAUCUUUGAACGCACAUUGCGCCCGCCAGUAUUCUGGCGGGCAUGCCUGUCUGAGCGUCAUUUCAACCCUCAAGCCUCUCCGGGCUUGGUGUUGGGGAUCGGCCCGCCCCUGUGUGGGGAGUGCCGGCCCCGAAAUCUAGUGGCGGACCCGCUGCGGCGUCCUCUGCGUAGUACAACAUGCCUCGCAGGCGGACAGCGGCGAGCUCCUGCCGUCAAAACCCCCCAACUUCUCAUGGUUGACCUCAGAUCAGGUAGGAAUACCCGCUGA
This 341-nucleotide unclassified non-coding RNA is filed under the name uncultured fungus. RNAcentral's name for it is "partial contains 5.8S ribosomal RNA and internal transcribed spacer 2". The stretch from base 1 to 133 matches the Rfam family "5.8S ribosomal RNA", at positions 22 to 154 of the family's 154-position model. Lineage: Eukaryota; Fungi. The record is from RNAcentral.